RNAcentral lists this unclassified non-coding RNA (348 nucleotides) under soil metagenome. RNAcentral describes it as "partial contains 5.8S ribosomal RNA, internal transcribed spacer 2, and large subunit ribosomal RNA". The stretch from base 1 to 120 matches the Rfam family "5.8S ribosomal RNA", at positions 35 to 154 of the family's 154-position model. The record is from RNAcentral.
GAUGAAGAACGCAGCGAAAUGCGAUAAGUAAUGUGAAUUGCAGAAUUCAGUGAAUCAUCGAAUCUUUGAGCGCACAUUGCGCCCGCCAGUAUUCUGGCGGGCAUGCCUGUCUGAGCGUCAUUUCAACCCUCAUGCCCCUAGGGCGUGGUGUUGGGGAUCGGCCAAAGCCCGCGAGGGACGGCCGGCCCCUAAAUCUAGUGGCGGACCCGUCGUGGCCUCCUCUGCGAAGUAGUGAUAUUCCGCAUCGGAGAGCGACGAGCCCCUGCCGUUAAACCCCCAACUUUCCAAGGUUGACCUCAGAUCAGGUAGGAAUACCCGCUGAACUUAAGCAUAUCAAUAAGCGGAGGA